AUUGAACGCUGGCGGCAGGCCUAACACAUGCAAGUCGAGCGGAUGAAGGGAGCUUGCUCCUGGAUUCAGCGGCGGACGGGUGAGUAAUGCCUAGGAAUCUGCCUGGUAGUGGGGGAUAACGUCCGGAGACGGGCGCUAAUACCGCAUACGUCCAGAGGGAGAAAGUGGGUGAUCUUCGGACCUCACGCUAUCAGAUGAGCCUAGGUCGGAUUAGCUAGUUGGUGGGGUAAAGGCCUACCAAGGCGACGAUACGUAACUGGUCUGAGAGGAUGAUCAGUCACACUGGAACUGAGACACGGUCCAGACUCCUACGGGAGGCAGCAGUGGGGAAUAUUGGACAAUGGGCGGAAGCCUGAUCCAGCCAUGCCGCGUGUGUGAAGAAGGUCUUCGGAUUGUAAAGCACUUUAAGUUGGGAGGAAGGGCAGUAAGUUAAUACCUUGCUGUUUUGACGUUACCAACAGAAUAAGCACCGGCUAACUUCGUG
RNAcentral lists this ribosomal RNA (484 nucleotides) under uncultured bacterium. RNAcentral describes it as "partial 16S ribosomal RNA". It matches the Rfam family "Bacterial small subunit ribosomal RNA", at positions 30 to 507 of the family's 1533-position model. The record is from RNAcentral.